This 1919-nucleotide long non-coding RNA is filed under the name Nicotiana tabacum (common tobacco). RNAcentral's name for it is "long non-coding RNA (NTAB_LNC014047)". Lineage: Eukaryota; Viridiplantae; Streptophyta; Magnoliopsida; Solanales; Solanaceae. The record is from RNAcentral.
AGAAGGAUAGAAAAUAAAUACACAGACAUUGAAACGACUCAAGCAAGGAGGGAAAAAGGUUUCAUCGAAGGAAAUGACUCGAGAAAACGAAUACAUUUGGCAGAUUACAAUUUUCAACCGACUUAUAUGUGCAGCAGAAAUGGGUGAAAAACAUUUAAAGCUCAUUGAGGUCGUUAUCCACCAUUGCCAAACACAUUGUCUCGACGAAUAAAUAAUUGUUUGGAAAAGAUUAUAACAUGUGAGGCCUAAUUUUCUGUUUUGUCCCACUGUGAGGCCUAAUUUCCUUUUGUUUAUUUAGUAAAUGCAGUCUUGCUUAAUUCAUCCUUUAAUAGGAAGAAAGAGAGUUUCAUAAGCAAAUAAAUACUAUAAAGCUCUCCUUUCUUUUUAAUUUGUCGCAACCAAUUAUAGUCGGUUAAAUGGAAUAUCCAUGAUUUUAAUUUGUGUAAUUUAGUACUAUUAUUACCUGCAUGGAAAUAAACUUGAACAGAACAUAAAAGGUUUGUCUCCACAGUUUUGUUAUGAUGUUUAAACAAAUUACAUAUUCCCAUCAGGCUCUAGAACUUUCUUAGCAGCUCUGGAUUAGAAAUAGCCUAAGGGUCGUUUGGUUUGGAACAAGUUAUCCCAUGAUUAAUUAUCCCGGGAUUAGUUAUCCCAUCCUCCCGUAGGGAUAAAAAAAUACUACAAUCCCGGAAUAAUUAAUCCGGGGUUUAGUUAUACGACGAUUUUAUCCCAACAAAAAAUGGAAUAAACUCAUCUCAAAUUUUAACUCCGAGAUUAAUUAUCCUUAUCACUCGUGCGAAACGGCUCUAAAAAUUUUAAAUGUUUGCUAUUAGGGCCACAGGUAAUUAGGCUUAUAUAAAAGCAAAUAUAGCUGCUCAUUCCAUAAAAAUACAUCACUGUUACUCGCCAAAUGAAAAUAUUAGUAAUAAUUCAUUCAAUUUUUUCCAAAAAUGCGAAGCGACAAAUCCUUUUAAAGCCAAGCUAAUUUGAUAAGUGAUUGGAAGUUGUGCUUUCAAUUCAUGACAAUGAUCCUUAUUAUAUAGAAAAAAAUUACCAUGGAAAGACCCCAAUGGUCACGAAUGAAUGAACAGUAAAAACACGGUAAGACACUUUAGUUAAACACAAUAAAUUAACAUAAAAAUUGGUAUGAGUUAAAUUUAUUAAAAUAACUGAGAAACCAAACCUAUGCUACAGAAAGACACUUAGAAAAAGGGUUUUAUUGGGUCGCUGUAUAAAUAUGCCUAUUAGGGUUAGGGUUUGCCAAAGAACAAAAGAGAAAGUAGCUAUUUAAUCUUAAUUUCCUUAAUCUCCACCACACAUAUGCCAUUUAUUUUCUCGUUGUUCGGCUGAGAACUCUCUACACUUAAGAAGAGAUGAAAAAAGUUUUGAGGAAAUCAUCAAAGGACUCCUCAAACAACUCUACAAAUUCAUCAUCGUCCUUUACUGUGAGGACAGUGAGAUAUGUAGAGUGUCAGAAGAAUCACGCCGCCAGUGUCGGCGGAUACGUCGUCGAUGGUUGCCGGGAGUUCAUGCCGGGAGCAACUGCCGGCGCCGCCCUAACUUGUGCAGCCUGUGGCUGUCACCGCAAUUUUCAUAGAAAGGAAGUGGAAACUGGUGUUGCUUCUGAUUGUACUUCUGCUUCUUCCACUCCUACAUGAAGUAAGUUUUAGUACUAUACGAGAUUUAAAUUGGAGAUCUGUAUUUGGGUAUGUGUUUGUACAUGUUUAAUUUUCUGCGUGUUCAAGAGUGAAGGUUAUUAAGAAACUAUGGGAAAGUUUCUAAUUCCUUCUCUUUUGAUUUGUAUUUGGCUUUGUUUAUAUGUGUGAAGGCGUGAGAUCGUUUGUAAUGAGUGAGCCCUUUAUAUAAUAAAUCAUAUAUUAGGGGAGAUAAGAUGUGUUUCUGUUUUGAUUAGACAUGAU